Molecule: long non-coding RNA, 647 nt
Organism: Micropterus dolomieu (smallmouth bass)
Lineage: Eukaryota; Metazoa; Chordata; Actinopteri; Centrarchiformes; Centrarchidae
Exons: 3
Source: RefSeq, a predicted model, not a curated record
GUCAGCUCCCUGCAGAAGUUAAAUGUGAAAAGAGCUAAAGAGGCGUGACUGGCAAACUACAAGCAGGAGAGGACAGAAGCAGAGACUGCUAGCAAAAAUCGUCUUUCUUGGGGUUCCGGGGAUCAUUGCCUCACUCAGAGGGCUUAGAGGCCACGGAAACCUCAAAGGACCAGCUGGAGCCUCACAAGUUCAAUGUGCUCAUAGAUGCAGUGUGAUAAAUCAGUUUGCAAAUCCCAUAGUGUCAAUGCAGUGAGUCCUACUCAAAGAUAAGCGACCCUCCACUCCAAGGUUAAGACAUUUUUCAGUUUCAGUUUGUUUCCACCAUUUGUACUGUAAGCUUGUGACGGAGUAACUUCACUACAGUUGAGUAAGUGCUUGGACUGCCAUACCAACGAGCCUGGCUCUUUGGUAUGCUGUAAAAGUUGCAUGUUUGGUACCCUGUAGACCUGUGUUUGAAUCUGGGCAGGGUGAAUGCUCUCUCCUUUGUCCACAUAUGGUGUCAGAAGUGGGAUGGCUUGCCGUGAGGUCAUGUGAGCCGUGCCCAGAGUCCGAGCCGUAUGAGGGACCCCCAUGGGUAACAUUAAUGAUGUGAUGUGUAUUGUGUACUUUUCAGUAAUACUGAUAAUAUGUCAUCAUUUUACUAAUUU